RNAcentral lists this ribosomal RNA (490 nucleotides) under uncultured bacterium. RNAcentral describes it as "partial 16S ribosomal RNA". It matches the Rfam family "Bacterial small subunit ribosomal RNA", at positions 30 to 507 of the family's 1533-position model. The record is from RNAcentral.
AUUGAACGCUGGCGGCAGGCCUAACACAUGCAAGUCGAACGGUAACAGGAAGAAGCUUGCUUCUUUGCUGACGAGUGGCGGACGGGUGAGUAAUGUCUGGGAAACUGCCUGAUGGAGGGGGAUAACUACUGGAAACGGUAGCUAAUACCGCAUAACGUCGCAAGACCAAAGAGGGGGACCUUCGGGCCUCUUGCCAUCGGAUGUGCCCAGAUGGGAUUAGCUAGUAGGUGGGGUAACGGCUCACCUAGGCGACGAUCCCUAGCUGGUCUGAGAGGAUGACCAGGCACACUAGAACUGAAGAACGGUCCAGACUCCUACGGGGAGCAACAGUUGGGAAUAUUGCACAAAGGGCGCAAAGCUGAUGCAGGCCUGCCGGGUGUAUGGAGAAGGCCUUCGGGGUGUAAAGUACCUUCAGCGGGGAGGAAGGGAGUAAAGUUAAUACCUUUACUCAUUGACGUUACCCGCAGAAGAAGCACCGGCUAACUCCGUG